Molecule: RNase P RNA, 380 nt
Filed under: Deltaproteobacteria bacterium
Lineage: Bacteria; Pseudomonadati; Myxococcota; Myxococcia
Description: RNase P RNA component class A
Rfam family: Bacterial RNase P class A
About the family: Ribonuclease P (RNase P) is a ubiquitous endoribonuclease, found in archaea, bacteria and eukarya as well as chloroplasts and mitochondria.
Source: RNAcentral
CGAGGUGACCAGGAGGCCGCCGGUGAUCCAUCGUGAUCACGGGAGGAAAGUCCGAGCUCCACAGGGCAGGGUGCCGGGUAACACCCGGUCGGGGCGACCCGGAGGAAAGUGCAACAGAGAGCAGGGCGCCGCGGGAGCGAUCCCACGGUGAGCGUGAAAGGGUGCGGUAAGAGCGCACCGGCGCCACCGGUGACGGUGGCGGCCAGGCAAACCCCACCUGGAGCAAGACCGAAUAGGGGAGCGAUCGAGGGCUGCCCGCCCGAUGCUCCUGGGUUGGUCGCUCGAGGCCGUCGGUGACGGCGGCCCUAGAGGAAUGGUCUCCACCCCUGCGAGGGCGACCGAGCAGGGGCACAGAACUCGGCUUACGGAUGCCUCGAACC